RNAcentral lists this ribosomal RNA (253 nucleotides) under uncultured bacterium. Its description in RNAcentral is "partial 16S ribosomal RNA". It matches the Rfam family "Bacterial small subunit ribosomal RNA", at positions 524 to 776 of the family's 1533-position model. The record is from RNAcentral.
UACAGAGGUCCCAAGCGUUGUUCGGAUUCAUUGGGCGUAAAGGGUGCGUAGGCCGCACGGUAAGUCAGAGGUGAAAUCCCGGAGCUCAACUUCGGAAUUGCCUCCGAUACUGCCGUGCUUGAGGACUGGAGAGGAGUCUGGAAUUCACAGUGGAGCAGUGAAAUGCGUAGAUAUUGUGAGGAACACUAGUGGCGAAGGCGAGACUCUGGACAGUUCCUGACGCUGAGGCACGAAGGCCAGGGGAGCAAACGGG